This is a long non-coding RNA of Anguilla anguilla (European eel), 304 nucleotides long. RefSeq lists it as uncharacterized. The record is from RefSeq and is a predicted model, not a curated record. Lineage: Eukaryota; Metazoa; Chordata; Actinopteri; Anguilliformes; Anguillidae. The transcript is spliced from 3 exons.
UGGCCUUUUUUGGAUAAGACUGGACUCCCCUGAUAAACACACAUUCUCUUUAAAGCUACUGAAAUCUUUUAAGGGCAAUAAAUAUGUGUACUACUGUAACUCUGGUGUUCCACAUUUCUCCUGGGACCAUCCAAACAUCAUGGUGGAAAAUAAACACUGGCUCGCAGACGAGGAGGAAUCCUGAAGAAGUGUUUGCCCUCCAGUCUCAGUGCUCCGUGUGCAGGGUGACCAGCAGGGGGCUCUGGACAGCAGGGGAUCCCACCAGCAAGAGCAAGAAGCGCAGGCUGCUCCAUAUCCGCAGGGC